UUUCCGUAGGUGAACCUGCGGAAGGAUCAUUCAUAAUAAAGUGUUUUAUGGCACUUUUUAAAAAUCCAUAUCCACCUUGUGUGCAAUGUUAGAUCUCGUCAAUCUUGGCGAGAUUUUUAUACAUCAACUCAUUCUUUAACUAAUUUGUCUGAAAAAUAUUUUGAAUACUUAAUUCAAAAUACAACUUUCAACAACGGAUCUCUUGGCUCUC
RNAcentral lists this unclassified non-coding RNA (211 nucleotides) under plant metagenome. RNAcentral's name for it is "partial contains small subunit ribosomal RNA, internal transcribed spacer 1, and 5.8S ribosomal RNA". The record is from RNAcentral.